GGUUUUUUUUGAUACCAUAAAAGUUUUAUUCUAGCUAGAAAGUUCUCUGCCAGAUUGUUUCACAUGUAACUUUUAGGGAGGAAGAUAGUACAAUCUAAAGGAUUGAACAAUAUUUCCAGUUAUUCACAGUGUUUGGUAUUGGUUGAUCAAGAAACCUUGGAACCAGUAAUUUUGCUAAUUCCGGCAAAACUCGUGCCAGCCGCCGCGGUUACACGAAGGGGGUAAGAGUAUUUUAUUGGUUUGUAAUUAAUUUUAUUGUAAGGUUGGAAGAGAAGUUUUAUUAGGUGAAAUUUUAAACUUGGAAUUAGCCUAGGGUUGUUUAAAUGAAGUUAUGAAGUUUAGGGAAUAAACUGGGAUUAGAUACCCCAUUAUUCUAAAAGUUAAAAUUAAGCCAGAGUAGUAAUAGUUAUGUUCUCAAAACUCAAAGAAUUUGGCGGUGUUUUAAUCCGGUCAGAGGAACCUGUCCCGUAAUCGAUAAUCCACGUUUAUUUAACUUAAUUUUGUAUUCAGCUUGUAUACCGCCGUCAGAAGAGUGAUUCGAGAGAAUACCCUCAAGGUUCUUAAAUAAGAAAGAUGUCAGGUCAAGGUGCAGUUUAUGGUUAAGGGGAGAUGGGUUACAAUAAUGAUAGUUAUACGAAAAUUUUCUUGUAAGAGAAGGUUGAAGGUGGAUUUGGAUGUAAUAAGGGAUAAUAACCUUUUAUGAUACCGGCUCUAAAACAAGCACACAUCGCCCGUCGCUCUCGUUUUUUAAGGCGAGAUAAGUCGUAACAUAGUAGAUGUACCGGAAGGUGUCUCUAGAAAGU
This 803-nucleotide non-coding RNA is filed under the name Epeorus herklotsi. The record is from RNAcentral. Lineage: Eukaryota; Metazoa; Arthropoda; Insecta; Ephemeroptera; Heptageniidae.